RNAcentral lists this long non-coding RNA (553 nucleotides) under Brachypodium distachyon (stiff brome). RNAcentral describes it as "long non-coding RNA (BDIS_LNC001067)". The record is from RNAcentral. Lineage: Eukaryota; Viridiplantae; Streptophyta; Magnoliopsida; Poales; Poaceae.
UAGGGGCUUCGUCCUCUUGUAUCUGGUUUUUGUCCGGUUUUUUCAAUAAACUGGGCAACUUUAUUUCUUUUAUAAUGAAAUGCAGACCCCUGCCCCUUUUGAGGUGUCCUAAAAAAAAAGAUAAUCAGCUUCAUGGAUCUACGUACGUUAAAAGACUAGCAGAAUUCUGUUCCAUAGAUCCCAUAGGUCUGCGUUAAGCUUGUCUCAAGUUUCAGGUUUCAAAGAGCUGAAGAACGUACCUAUAGCCCAGAGAAAGGAAAAAAAAAGUGUAAUCCUCUUGUGAAGGGAGCUCCUGCGAUGAUGGUAUUCUUAUCAAAACGAAAAUACCAAACAAAUUAACUUCUGAAUGAACCAUCCAUAUUACUAAGGUGUCGAGAUCUUUAUAACUACAAGCACAAUACCCAUGUCGAUGUAGGCUAAAAAGUAUAUUUGUUGUGAUUGCAUAUCAGAUUAAUUCAUACUACUGCUAUCUCAAUGAUGACUAACCGCCGUCAAGAAUUAAAAAUCUAUAAUAUAAGAGUAAAAGUAUCGUGUUUGAUAUGUUUUGACGAAA